Molecule: ribosomal RNA, 497 nt
Filed under: uncultured bacterium
Lineage: Bacteria
Description: partial 16S ribosomal RNA
Rfam family: Bacterial small subunit ribosomal RNA
Source: RNAcentral
GAUGAACGCUGGCGGCGUGCCUAAUACAUGCAAGUCGAGCGAACAGAUGAGGAGCUUGCUCCUCUGACGUUAGCGGCGGACGGGUGAGUAACACGUGGAUAACCUACCUAUAAGACUGGGAUAACUUCGGGAAACCGGAGCUAAUACCGGAUAAUAUAUUGAACCGCAUGGUUCAAUAGUGAAAGACGGUUUUGCUGUCACUUAUAGAUGGAUCCGCGCCGCAUUGUCUAGUUGGUAAGGUAACGGCUUACCAAGGCAACGAUGCGUAGCCGACCUGAGAGGGUGAUCGGCCACACUGGAACUGAGACACGGUCCAGACUCCUACGGGAGGCAGCAGUAGGGAAUCUUCCGCAAUGGGCGAAAGCCUGACGGAGCAACGCCGCGUGAGUGAUGAAGGUCUUCGGAUCGUAAAACUCUGUUAUUAGGGAAGAACAAAUGUGUAAGUAACUAUGCACGUCUUGACGGUACCUAAUCAGAAAGCCACGGCUAACUACGUG